This 365-nucleotide long non-coding RNA is filed under the name Nicotiana benthamiana. RNAcentral describes it as "long non-coding RNA (NBEN_LNC034996)". Lineage: Eukaryota; Viridiplantae; Streptophyta; Magnoliopsida; Solanales; Solanaceae. The record is from RNAcentral.
ACAAACCACCCUUUCAGAAUUCUCUCCCUUCUCUCUCUUCGAUACUGUUCACCGUCUCUUUUCUUCUCCAAAUCCAUGGCUUCCAUGGACACUAACAUGGUAUCAGAGCGGGUCAUUCGACUCUUCUCGUCAAGAGCUAUCAUCCGGUACUAGCCUCGUCGUUUAUCGUUCAAGUUUUCACCAGUUUUCACAAACUAGGUUUUUCUUCGUUUUUCUUCGCAGUCGGUUAGUAUCUCUUCUUCGAUUCAUCAAUUUUGAAGUUGCUUAUUGUUUCAUCGACACUACUCGUAGUGUGUUCACAGAAGUUUUCUGUUCCUUCUUCGAUUCAUCAAUUUUGAAGUUGCUUGUUGUUUCAUCGGUACUAC